Long non-coding RNA from Symphalangus syndactylus (siamang), 892 nucleotides. RefSeq lists it as uncharacterized. NCBI's taxonomy places the organism in Eukaryota, Metazoa, Chordata, Mammalia, Primates, Hylobatidae. The record is from RefSeq and is a predicted model, not a curated record.
CCUUCACGUACGAGGGUUCCGCCCUCAUGACCCUCCGCGUACGAGGGUUCCGCCCUCAUGACCUUGUUACCUCCCAGAGGUCCUGCCUCCUGGCCCCAUCACCUUGCAGGUCAAUGUGAAGUCAACGUCUAAUGGAGCCGAGUUCAGGCAAGAGCACACACCAGUUGUUCCAGGGAAGAAUCUCAUGGUGAAGCAGUAGUGAGCGUCCAAGCAACUUCCAGCCUGACCUCAGGGGUCUGACUGUGGGGCUGCUUCUGCCACGGCUCCUGGCUGGCGAUGGGGCUGUCAGCGUGUUAGCUAACCGUGCAUUGCAGAAGCACUUUGAAGAAAAUUAAUGUACCUGGGUACUUAUGGGACUCCCUGCAUGAGUGGGUAUAAUUGAAACAGCCGGGACAUCAAAAAGCUGGAACACUGGGAGCCUGGCCCUAGGGUGGCGGAGGCCACAACGGAACCCCCAGCCGGUUGGAAAGAGGCUUCCUAUGCUCUCCUUUCCAUGCCACUGCGGCAGUGUUAGGGAACAGGAAAACCAGGGCGUUGCAAAGUGAAUAAUAACAACCAUGCGUGCAGCGUUCACGGUAUCCCAGGCUCAGUGAGCCUUUCACUCAGGGUCUCAUGUGAUGCUGAAAACAAUCCCACGAAGUUUAGAAGCCUGUGUACACGAAGUGGUGUUUUCCUAUUGAUCCAAACUGCGUGCUGACCUGUUCCUGCCUGGGCUGCGCUCCUCCUGCUUUGCCCUGGCUCUCCCGUUCUGUACUCCCUCUCCUGCCGGGAAUUCCUGGAAGCACCUUUUAUUCACAGUGCCUAUUUUGAAUAGAUACAAAUACAAUUUGUAUCUUAUGUAGCCCAUUCCACACAAUUGAAAAUAUAAUGUAAUAAAAAUCAGAAAAGUAAA